AAGCCCACCUCUAGCUCAACCAUCAUCAACCUAAAACGAAAGAAUUAACCAUCAACUCAAACAAACCAAAACAUUAUACCACAAGCCUAGUAUAGGUGAUAGAAAAGAACCUCCGACGCAAUAGAGCCUUGUACCGUAAGGGAAAGAUGAAAUAAUAAUGAAACACCAAGCAAGAAAUAGCAAAGAUAAACCCUUGUACCUCUCGCAUCAUGAUUUAGCAAGAACAACCAAGCAAAGUGAACUAAAGCUUGCCCCCCCGAAACCCAAGCGAGCUACUUACAAGCAGCCAUUUACCCAGGGCGAACCCGUCUCUGUUGCAAAAGAGUGGGAUGACUUGUCAGUAGAGGUGAAAAGCCAAUCGAGCUGGGUGAUAGCUGGUUGCCUGCAAAAUGAAUCUAAGUUCCCCCUUAAUCCCUGCCCCCAGGGCACAAAACCUUAACCCCCAUGUUAAGAUUAAGAGCUAUUCAGAGGAGGUACAGCUCCCCUGAAAAAGAACACAACCUUUACCAGCGGAUAACCCAUCCCACUACAUCCACCGUGGGCCUUAAAGCAGCCACCAAUAAAGAGUGCGUCAAAGCUCCAACCCUAAAAAUCCCCAACCCUCCCGCGACUCCCUCACCUACAGCAGGCUAACCUAUAACUAUAGGAGAAUUUAUGCUAAAAUGAGUAACUCGGAAUCCACUCCUCCACAGGCACGAACUUACAUCAACCUAUUAUUAACAGAAUCCUACUUAUACUCCACUCCAACAAGCACCACAUAUAAAACUAACCCUGUUAAACCAACCCAGGAGUGCCUACAGGACGAUUAAAAUCUGCAGAAGGAACUCGGCAAAUCUUUAAGGCCCGACUGUUUACCAAAAACAUAGCCUUCAGCCACCAACAAGUAUUGAAGGUGAUGCCUGCCCAGUGACCUCCCCAACGUUCAACGGCCGCGGUAUCCUAACCGUGCAAAGGUAGCGCAAUCAAUUGUCCCAUAAAUCGAGACUUGUAUGAACGGCUAAACGAGGUCUUAACUGUCUCCUACAGAUGAUCAGUGAAAUUAGUAUUCCUGUGCAAAAACAGGAAUGUGAACAUAAGACGAGAAGACCCUGUGGAACUUAAAAAUCAUCAGCCACUUCCCCAACACACAACCCCAUCGGGCCCACCACCAAAGCAAAUACCUGGCUGACAUUUUUCGGUUGGGGCGACCUUGGAGUAAAGACUAACCUCCAAAAACAAGACCACACACCUUUACUGAGGACUACCCCCCAAAGUGCUAAAAGUAACCCGACCCAAUACAAUUGAUUAAUGGACCAAGCUACCCCAGGGAUAACAGCGCAAUCCCCUCCAAGAGCCCAUAUCGACAAGGGGGUUUACGACCUCGAUGUUGGAUCAGGACAACCUAAUGGUGCAGCCGCUAUUAAGGGUUCGUUUGUUCAACGAUUAACAGUCCUACGUGAUCUGAGUUCAGACCGGAGCAAUCCAGGUCGGUUUCUAUCUAUGACAUACUUCUCCUAGUACGAAAGGACCGGAAAAGUGAGGCCAAUACCCCAAGCACGCCUCCCCCUCUAAGUAGUGAACCCCACUCAACUACCAAGAGCCCAAACAAACCACCACAAAAAUCCUAAAAAAGGACCU
Molecule: ribosomal RNA, 1617 nt
Filed under: Talegalla fuscirostris
Lineage: Eukaryota; Metazoa; Chordata; Aves; Galliformes; Megapodiidae
Description: 16S ribosomal RNA
Rfam family: Bacterial large subunit ribosomal RNA (bases 92-1499)
Source: RNAcentral